Molecule: long non-coding RNA, 1063 nt
Filed under: Scleropages formosus (Asian bonytongue)
Lineage: Eukaryota; Metazoa; Chordata; Actinopteri; Osteoglossiformes; Osteoglossidae
Description: lncRNA (ENSSFOG00015029549.1)
Source: RNAcentral
CUUUAAUUUCUCCAUGGGACUCUGGAACUCUGAGAAAGCCUGACUUCAUACAAGCCUACGCCUCCCAUCUCUUACUGGACCUCCUGGCCACAACUGAAACCUGGAUCACCCCAGACACUCAGCCACACCCAGCUCUCUCCACUAACUACUCCUUCUCUUACACCCCUCGUCCCUCCAGCAGAGGUGGAGGCACAGGCCUGCUCAUCUCUCCCUGGUGGGAAUAUUCCAUUCUUCCUCUUCACCUGCAUGAUCUGUGCUACUUUGAAUGGCAUGCUGUCUCUAUCACUGCCCCAAUCACUCUUCUUGUGGUUGUUCUUUACUGCUCUCCUGGCCCUCUCAGCUGCUUCUUGGAUGACCUUGACAUCUUGUUGAGCUCUCCGCCAGGGGACAAUGCUCCGUUAAUUCUCCUGGGUGACUUCAACCUGCAUGUUGACGACAUUCAUGCAAGCGGCCUUCUGUUGCUCCUACAGUCCUUCGAUUUCUCCCUGUCCCAAUCCCCUGCUACUCACAAAGCAGGCAAUUGUCUUGACCUUGUAUUUUCCUGCAACUGUGGCUGUCCCAUCCUCUCUGUCACUCCUCUGCAUGUCUCUGAUCACUUCUUCAUUUCCUUUAAACCCUGCCUCACCACUAAUUCCUCGCCUCUUUCUGCACCCGCUGUCACCUUCCGCCACAGCUUAAAAUCUCUCUCGCCUUCCUGCUUUGCCUCUGCUACGCUGUCCGCUCUCACUUAUGCCGCACAAUUCUCGGAUCUAUCCACAAACUAACGUUUUCCUCUCUGCCCUACCUUGCACCCUUGACUCUCCCUGUCCGCUGUCUUCUAGACCAGCGUGCCACCCCAUGGCUGACUGAUACAUUACGAGCUAACGGGACUAAACUCUGAGCUGCAGAGCGAAGAUGGUGAAAAAUCCAAGACUCGUUUGGACCUGAAUGCUUACCAGUCACUCUUAGCUACUUUUUACUCUGCUGUCUCAACUAAAACCUCCUUCUACCACAACAAAAUACAAUCUAAAAAAAACCCACACAGACUCUAUGCCACCUUCUCAUCCGUUCUGUCUCCUCCACC